GAUGAACGCUGGCGGCGUGCCUAAUACAUGCAAGUCGAGCGAGCGGACGAGAAGCUUGCUUCUCUGAUGUUAGCGGCGGACGGGUGAGUAACACGUGGACAACCUACCUAUAAGACUGGGAUAACUUCGGGAAACCGGAGCUAAUACCGGAUAAUAUUUUGAACCGCAUGGUUCAAAAGUGAAAGACGGUCUUGCUGUCACUUAUAGAUGGAUCCGCGCUGCAUUAGCUAGUUGGUAAGGUAACGGCUUACCAAGGCAACGAUGCAUAGCCGACAUGAGAGGGUGAUCGGCCACACUGGAACUGAGACACGGUCCAGACUCCUACGGGAGGCAGCAGUAGGGAAUCUUCCGCAAUGGGCGAAAGCCUGACGGAGCAACGCCGCGUGAGUGAUGAAGGUCUUCGGAUCGUAAAACUCUGUUAUUAGGGAAGAACAUAUGUGUAAGUAACUGUGCACAUCUUGACGGUACCUAAUCAGAAAGCCACGGCUAACUACGUG
This 497-nucleotide ribosomal RNA is filed under the name uncultured bacterium. Its description in RNAcentral is "partial 16S ribosomal RNA". It matches the Rfam family "Bacterial small subunit ribosomal RNA", at positions 28 to 507 of the family's 1533-position model. The record is from RNAcentral.